AAGACUAUAGACCUGCGGAGUACCUGCGGAAGGAUCAUUAACGAUUUCGGUGUAAAAAACCGUUUUCUACCUAUGUCUACGCGUACCACUUGUUUCCUCGGGGGGCUUGCCCCCCGCUAGGACCCUUUAUCAAACCUUUUUGUAAUAGCAGUCAGCGUCUGAUACUACGUUAAUUAUUAAAACUUUUAGCAACGGAUCUCU
This 201-nucleotide unclassified non-coding RNA is filed under the name soil metagenome. RNAcentral describes it as "partial contains 5.8S ribosomal RNA, internal transcribed spacer 2, and large subunit ribosomal RNA". The record is from RNAcentral.